GAUGAACGCUAGCGGCAGGCUUAAUACAUGCAAGUCGAACGGUAAGUAGUGUAGCAAUACAUUACCAAGAGUGACGUACGGGUGCGUAACACGUAUGCAACCUACCUUGUACAGGAGUAUAGCUCGGGGAAACUCGAAUUAACCCUCCAUAAGAUCGUGGUGUGGCAUCACACAGCGAUAAAAACUCAGGUGGUACAAGCUGGGCAUGCGUCUGAUUAGAGUUGGCGGGGUAACGGCCCACCAAGACGAUGAUCAGUAGGGGAACUGAGAGG
This 272-nucleotide ribosomal RNA is filed under the name uncultured bacterium. RNAcentral's name for it is "partial 16S ribosomal RNA". It matches the Rfam family "Bacterial small subunit ribosomal RNA", at positions 28 to 299 of the family's 1533-position model. The record is from RNAcentral.